UGAUACUCGUUUUUGGGUUUUAUGAUUCAGAGACUAAGCGAAAGUGAUAAGUAAUCCACCUGGGGAGUACGUUCGCAAGAAUGAAACUCAAAGGAAUUGACGGGGGCCCGCACAAGCGGUGGAGCAUGUGGUUUAAUUCGAUGAUACGCGAGGAACCUUACCAAGACUUAAAUGGGAAAUGACAGCUUUAGAAAUAGAGUUUUCUUCGGACAUUUUUCAAGGUGCUGCAUGGUUGUCGUCAGCUCGUGCCGUGAGGUGUUAGGUUAAGUCCUGCAACGAGCGCAACCCCUGUCACUAGUUGCUAACAUUAAGUUGAGGACUCUAGUGAGACUGCCUACGCAAGUAGAGAGGAAGGUGGGGAUGACGUCAAAUCAUCACGGCCCUUACGUCUUGGGCCACACACGUGCUACAAUGGCCGGUACAGAGGGCAGCUACCUAGUGAUAGGAUGCAAAUCUCGAAAGCCGGUCUCAGUUCGGAUUGGAGUCUGCAACUCGACUCUAUGAAGCUGGAAUCGCUAGUAAUCGCGCAUCAGCCAUGGCGCGGUGAAUACGUUCCCGGGAAA
Molecule: ribosomal RNA, 563 nt
Filed under: Elizabethkingia meningoseptica
Lineage: Bacteria; Pseudomonadati; Bacteroidota; Flavobacteriia; Flavobacteriales; Weeksellaceae
Description: bacterial SSU rRNA
Rfam family: Bacterial small subunit ribosomal RNA
Source: RNAcentral